Molecule: ribosomal RNA, 1349 nt
Filed under: metagenome
Description: bacterial LSU rRNA
Rfam family: Bacterial large subunit ribosomal RNA
Source: RNAcentral
UGAGUGCGAGCUGCUACGGCAGCGAAGUUGGUGAUGUCAUGCUUCCAAGAAAAGCCCUAUACCCGUUAAGGCAUCAUGGCCUGUACCCGAAACCGACACAGGUGGGGUGGUAGAGAAUACCGAGGGGCGCGAGGUAACUCUCUCUAAGGAACUCGGCAAAAUGGCCCCGUAACUUCGGGAGAAGGGGUGCCACCGCAAGGUGGUCGCAGUGAAGAGGCCCAGGCGACUGUUUACCAAAAACACAGGUCUCCGCUAAGUCGCAAGACGAUGUAUGGGGGCUGACGCCUGCCCAGUGCCGGAAGGUUAAGGAAGCUGGUCAGCGCAAGCGAAGCUAGCGACUGAAGCCCCGGUGAACGGCGGCCGUAACGAUAACGGUCCUAAGGUAGCGAAAUUCCUUGUCGGGUAAGUUCCGACCCGCACGAAAGGCGUAACGAUCUGGGCGCUGUCUCGGAGAGAGGCUCGGCGAAAUAGAAUUGUCUGUGAAGAUGCGGACUACGUGCACCCGGACAGAAAGACCCUAUGAAGCUUUACUGUAACUUGAAAUUGGAAUUGGGCUCGCAAUGCGCAGGAUAGGUGGGAGGCUUUGAUCAUCGGCUUGCGGGUCGAUGUGAGCCAACGGUGAGAUACCACUCUUUGCGAGCUAGGAUUCUAACGGCCACCCGUCAUCCGGGGGCCGGACAGUACCUGGUGGGCAGUUUGACUGGGGCGGUCGCCUCCUAAAAGGUAACGGAGGCGCGCAAAGGUUUGCUCAGGCUGGUUGGAAAUCAGCCGACGAGUGUAAAAGCAGAAGCAAGCUUGACUGUGAGACCAACAAGUCGAACAGGGAGGAAACUCGGCUUUAGUGAUCCGACGGUUCUGAGUGGAAGGGCCGUCGCUCAACGGAUAAAAGUUACUCUAGGAUAACAGGCUGAUCUCCCCCAAGAGUUCACAUCGACGGGGAGGUUUGGCACCUCGAUGUCGGCUCAUCGCAACCUGGGGCUGAAGUCGGUCCCAAGGGUUGGGCUGUUCGCCCAUUAAAGCGGUACGCGAGCUGGGUUCAGAACGUCGUGAGACAGUUCGGUCCAUAUCCGGUGCACGCGCAGGAAUAUUGAGAGGAUUUCUCCCUAGUACGAGAGGACCGGGAGGAACGCACCUCUGGUGUACCAGUUAUCGUGCCAACGGUAAACGCUGGGUAGCCAUGUGCGGAGUGGAUAACCGCUGAAAGCAUCUAAGUGGGAAGCCCACCUCAAGAUGAGUAUUCCCAUGGCGUAAGCCAGUAAGGUCACGGGAAGAACACCCGUUGAUAGGCUCUAUGUGGAAGCGCAGUAAUGCGUGAAGCAGAGGAGUACUAAUAGACCGAGGGCUUGACC